GACUCACAGCUAAGGUUCCUAAAUUGUAGCUUAGUUGAAAAGGCCGUUCAGUUUCCAACACAGCAGGAAGGUUGGCUCAGAAGCAGCCAUCCUUUAAAGAGUGCGUAACAGCUCACCUGAAUAUUCCAGAUUUAUCUGGAUGGAAACUAUGCGCCGAAAAUGAACGGAGAUAAGCAUCGUACCGAAGACUGAGAUUAUUUAAAUCUUUGCGAUUUAUAUAGUGGUAGGGGAGCGUUCUAGUUGCUGUGAAGCCUCAUCGUAAGGUGGAGUGGAGCGGCUAGAAGUGAGAAUGCUGACGCAAGUAGUGAUUCUUCUGGUGAAAACCCAGAAUGCCGAAUGUUCAAGGUUUCCUCAGCAACGUCAAUCGACUGAGGGUUAGUCGGAUCUAACUGGCGCAUCGAUUGGUGCGUCGGGAUGUACAAACGGUCAAUAUUCCGUUACAAGGUAAUACGCGUUAUUACUGUAUUGAUGACGAAGUUCGUUCUUUUGAGCCUUCUAUAUGUGGGUCUAAAUGACAAAUCUUUUCGUAAGUUAAGGUGAGUUAUGAAUGCAAUCGGUCGUAAGACUGAAAGUCAAAAAGAAUGCGUUUCCGGGAAAAGUCAAUGCAGGAGUUUAUUAUUUUUCCGUACCGUAAACCGACACAGGUGAACUGGUAGAGAAUACCAAGGCAGACGAGUAAGGUUAGUUCAAGGAACUAGGCAAAAAAGCGAGCGUAAGGUUUCCGAUAUGCUCUGCCGUCUUCGGACGGCUGCAACCAACGUUUAUCAACCGACUGUUUAUCAAAAACACAGGCUUCUGCAAACCAGAAAAUGGGACGUAUAGAAGCUGAGACCUGUCCGGUGCUGGUAAGUUAAUCAUUGGGAUUGACUGCUUCAAUUUAUUGUUGCAGAAGGUUCUGGUGCAAGCUCCAGUGAACGACAGCUCUAACCCUGAGAGUUCUAAGGUAGCGUAGCCCCUUGCCGGGUAAGUUCCGGCCCGCAUGAAAGGUAUAACGAGUUGAUAACUGUCUUGAACUAAUGCUCGACGAACAUGAAUUGGCUGUGAAGAUGCGGCCUACCUGCACAUGGACAAAAAGACCCCAGAAGCUUUACUGAAGCUUGUCAUUGGUCGGAAGAAAGAGACUGUCGAGCGUAGGAGGGAGACCUCGGUCGCCAAUGGAACACCUCUCUUCUCUUUUUUCUUACCUCAUCAACCAAUUGUUGAAACAGUGAUAGGUGGUCAGUUUAACUGGGGCGGUUUCCUCCAAAAAAGUAACGGAGGAGCGCAAAGGUCAGCUUAUUCCGGAUGGAAAUCGGAAUGAAAGUGCAAUUGCAAAAGCUGGCUUAACUGUGAGAAUGACUAUUCGAACAGAUACGAAAGUAGGCAAUAGUGAUCCCCCGCACGACUGUGAUUGUCGUCGGGGCUUAACGGAUAAAAGCUACUCUGGGGAUAACAGGCUAGUCACGCCCGAGCGUCCAUAGCGACGGCGUGGUUCGGCACCUCGAUGUCGGCUCAUCACAUCCUGGGGCUGUAGUAGGUCCCAAGGGUUGGGCUGUUCGCCCAUUAAAGUGGUACGCGAGCUGGGUUCAGAACGUCGUGAGACAGUUCGGUCCCUAUCUGCCAUGGGCGUUGGAGAUUUGAGAGGGGCUGCUCCUAGUACGAGAGGACCGGAGUGGACGAACCUCUGGUGUUCCGGUUGUCACGCCAGUGGCAUUGCCGGGUAGCUAUGUUCGGAAGCGAUAACCGCUGAAAGCAUCUAAGCGGGAAGCGCGCCUCAAGAUGAGACCUCCCGGGCCACAAGGCCCCUGAAGGAACCAUGAAGACUACGUGGUUGAUAGGGUGGGUGUGUAUCGCAGCAAUGCCGAGCUAACCACUACUAAUGAUCCGUGCGGCUUGACCAU
RNAcentral lists this ribosomal RNA (1880 nucleotides) under wastewater metagenome. Its description in RNAcentral is "bacterial LSU rRNA". It matches the Rfam family "Bacterial large subunit ribosomal RNA", at positions 1030 to 2925 of the family's 2925-position model. The record is from RNAcentral.